Long non-coding RNA from Bubalus bubalis (water buffalo), 1120 nucleotides. RefSeq lists it as uncharacterized. The record is from RefSeq and is a predicted model, not a curated record. Lineage: Eukaryota; Metazoa; Chordata; Mammalia; Artiodactyla; Bovidae. The transcript has 2 exons.
CAGUAGUUCUGUGAGGUCUGCCUGGAGAAGGCAAUGGGCAGGAUUCCCUGAGUGAACGAGUUGAGGCGGCCCCGACUGCCGCUCCCGCCCCCGGGGGUCCCGGAGCUCAGGAAGGCGGCCGCCGGCACGUGCACUCCGGCUGAGGACGCAGCUCCUGUUAUAAAUGCACACCCCGGGGUGCACAAGAACCCCAAACCCUACCAGUGUCUUCUAUUAAGUACCUGUCCAAGGAUGCAAUGACCCUUUCAGAGCUGCAACGACGGAUCUGGGAGGGGUCGCAGUAUGCUGUACCCCAGCCCCACCGCCAACAACCUUCUGUUCUGGAGUAGAGGGGGCUUUGCCGUGGACCAUCUGAAAAUGCUUGCAGCUUUCCGUCUGCGGUUUGGGUGACUUAUCAAAGGCAGUAGUAACAGUUGUCACACUGACGAGUUCUCUGACAUCUAAGAAACCUCUCUACACUUUCCUGAGGGAGAAGCAAUGUGUUUAAGAUCAAGUGAUUAAUUUAAUUAAAGGUUUAAAUUUAGCCUUGGAGCUAAUGGGUAACUCUACAUUGAAAUUCCACUCCAUUUCAAGUUCAGGAAAGUAAAUUGAGUAAUGCAGGGCAAAUACACCCUUCCAGAGACAUGCCGCCAGCCUGGAGGAGGAGAUAUGGGUGAGUUCAGGUUACAGUGGCUUAGGCCAAACUCGGCACAUGGCCCUUUACAUGAACAGUUGUUCAUUUUUUAUUUUAUGCCAUUUUUAGGCCUUUUGAAAAAGUGGAACCAAGAGUCUAGAGCAGCCUUAUUGCAGCUAAGUGACCAGCUCUGUGUAAUUUCAUUAGGAUUUUAAUUACUCUGUUUAACUUCUUGAAACUCCCAAGUUACUCUAUUACAACUAACUUAAUUUACUUGACCACUGUUUGGUUGUGCUGGCAGGCAGUGUUUAAAAAAACCACCUCCACUGCACAUGUAAAAGAAAGACUUUUUAAAUCACAAAAGUGAUAUAUAUUAAUUGCAGAACAUUUACAGAAUAAGUAAAGAGAAGUAGGGGAAAAAAAGCUCCAUUAACAACCUCAUCUUGUAUGGAAAUAACUAUUACAAUUUUGAUUCCUUCCUGUGUUUAUUAAACAGGUUAAAGCAGG